GAAGCCUUCAGCAGUACAUAUACUAAAAUAGGACUGAUAAAAAGAUUAUCAUGGACCUGUGCAAGGAUGAUCCACAAAUUCAUGAAGCAUUUCAUAUUUUU
This 101-nucleotide small nuclear RNA is filed under the name Moschus moschiferus (Siberian musk deer). The record is from RNAcentral. Lineage: Eukaryota; Metazoa; Chordata; Mammalia; Artiodactyla; Moschidae.